This 253-nucleotide ribosomal RNA is filed under the name uncultured bacterium. RNAcentral's name for it is "partial 16S ribosomal RNA". It matches the Rfam family "Bacterial small subunit ribosomal RNA", at positions 524 to 776 of the family's 1533-position model. The record is from RNAcentral.
UACGUAGGUGGCAAGCGUUAUCCGGAUUUACUGGGUGUAAAGGGAGCGUAGGCGGGACUUUAAGUCAGAUGUGAAAUGCUGGGGCUCAACCCCAGAGCUGCAUUUGAAACUGGAGUUCUUGAGUGUCGGAGAGGUAAGUGGAAUUCCUAGUGUAGCGGUGAAAUGCGUAGAUAUUAGGAGGAACACCAGUGGCGAAGGCGACUUACUGGACGAUAACUGACGCUGAGGCUCGAAAGUGUGGGGAGCAAACAGG